AGACCCGAAACCCGGUGAUCUAGCCAUGGGCAGGUUGAAGGUUGGGUAACACUAACUGGAGGACCGAACCGACUAAUGUUGAAAAAUUAGCGGAUGACCUGUGGCUGGGGGUGAAAGGCCAAUCAAACCGGGAGAUAGCUGGUUCUCCCCGAAAGCUAUUUAGGUAGCGCCUCGUGAAUUCAUCUCCGGGGGUAGAGCACUGUUUCGGCUAGGGGGCCAUCCCGGCUUACCAACCCGAUGCAAACUGCGAAUACCGGAGAAUGUUAUCACGGGAGACACACGGCGGGUGCUAACGUCCGUCGUGAAGAGGGAAACAACCCAGACCGCCAGCUAAGGUCCCAAAGUCAUGGUUAAGUGGGAAACGAUGUGGGAAGGCCCAGACAGCCAGGAUGUUGGCUUAGAAGCAGCCAUCAUUUAAAGAAAGCGUAAUAGCUCACUGGUCGAGUCGGCCUGCGCGGAAGAUGUAACGGGGCUAAACCAUGCACCGAAGCUGCGGCAGCGACGCUUAUGCGU
RNAcentral lists this ribosomal RNA (513 nucleotides) under Salmonella enterica subsp. enterica serovar Thompson. Its description in RNAcentral is "partial 23S ribosomal RNA". It matches the Rfam family "Bacterial large subunit ribosomal RNA", at positions 711 to 1221 of the family's 2925-position model. The record is from RNAcentral. RNAcentral also lists the same sequence under 17 other names. Lineage: Bacteria; Pseudomonadati; Pseudomonadota; Gammaproteobacteria; Enterobacterales; Enterobacteriaceae.